This 236-nucleotide ribosomal RNA is filed under the name Salmonella enterica subsp. enterica serovar Cerro. Its description in RNAcentral is "partial 23S ribosomal RNA". It matches the Rfam family "Bacterial large subunit ribosomal RNA", at positions 1385 to 1646 of the family's 2925-position model. The record is from RNAcentral. Lineage: Bacteria; Pseudomonadati; Pseudomonadota; Gammaproteobacteria; Enterobacterales; Enterobacteriaceae.
CGACCCCUAAGGCGAGGCCGAAAGGCGUAGUCGAUGGGAAACGGGUUAAUAUUCCCGUACUUGGUGUUACUGCGAAGGGGGGACGGAGAAGGCUAUGUUGGCCGGGCGACGGUUGUCCCGGUUUAAGGCAAACAUAUCGUGAUCCGUCCGCUGGCUUACUGCCGCGAGAAAGAUAUUAUCCGUUUUGCUGAGGCCAAAGCCUUCCCUAUCACUCCUUGUAAUCUGUGCGGUUCGCA